RNAcentral lists this ribosomal RNA (125 nucleotides) under Pyrenochaeta sp. Its description in RNAcentral is "partial large subunit ribosomal RNA". Lineage: Eukaryota; Fungi; Ascomycota; Dothideomycetes; Pleosporales; Cucurbitariaceae. The record is from RNAcentral.
CCCGAGUUGUAAUUUGCAGAGGUGGCUUCGGAGCCGCACCGGCCUAAGUUCCUUGGAACAGGACGUCACAGAGGGUGAGAAUCCCGUACGUGGCUAGGUGCCUAUCCAUGUGUAGCCCCUUCGAC